GUGCCAGCAGCCGCGGUAAUACGAAGGGACCUAGCGUAGUUCGGAAUUACUGGGCUUAAAGAGUUCGUAGGUGGUUAAAAAAAGUUGGUGGUGAAAUCCCAGAGCUUAACUCUGGAACUGCCAUCAAAACUUUUUAGCUAGAGUAUGAUAGAGGAAAGUAGAAUUUCUAGUGUAGAGGUGAAAUUCGUAGAUAUUAGAAAGAAUACCGAUUGCGAAGGCAACUUUCUGGAUCAUUACUGACACUGAGGAACGAAAGCAUGGCUAGCGAAGAGGGUUAGAUACCCUCGUAGUCCAUGCCGUAAACGAUGUGUGCUAGACGUUGGAAAUUUAUUUUCAGUGUCGCAGCAAAAGCAUUAAGCACACCGCCUGGGGAGUACGACCGCAAGGUUAAAACUCAAGGGAAUUGACGG
RNAcentral lists this ribosomal RNA (410 nucleotides) under uncultured bacterium. RNAcentral describes it as "bacterial SSU rRNA". It matches the Rfam family "Bacterial small subunit ribosomal RNA", at positions 505 to 916 of the family's 1533-position model. The record is from RNAcentral.